This 393-nucleotide ribosomal RNA is filed under the name uncultured bacterium. RNAcentral describes it as "bacterial SSU rRNA". It matches the Rfam family "Bacterial small subunit ribosomal RNA", at positions 28 to 422 of the family's 1533-position model. The record is from RNAcentral.
GACGAACGCUGGCGGCGUGCUUAACACAUGCAAGUCGAGCGGUAAGGCCCUUUCGGGGGUACACGAGCGGCGAACGGGUGAGUAACACGUGGGUGACCUGCCCUCAGCUCUGGGAUAAGCCCGGGAAACUGGGUCUAAUACUGGAUAUGACUCCAUGACGCAUGUUGUGGGGUGGAAAGCCUUGUGCGGCUGAGGAUGGGCCCGCGGCCUAUCAGCUUGUUGGUGGGGNGACGGCCUACCAAGGCGACGACGGGUAGCCGGCCUGAGAGGGCGACCGGCCACACUGGGACUGAGACACGGCCCAGACUCCUACGGGAGGCAGCAGUGGGGAAUCUUGCGCAAUGGGCGAAAGCCUGACGCAGCGACGCCGCGUGAGGGAUGACGGCCUCGGUG